UGGGGAAUAUUGCACAAUGGGGGAAACCCUGAUGCAGCGACGCCGCGUGAGCGAAGAAGGCCUUCGGGUCGUAAAGCUCUUUUAUGAGGGAAGAUAAUGACGGUACCUCAAGAAAAAGCCCCGGCUAACUACGUGCCAGCAGCCGCGGUAAUACGUAGGGGGCUAGCGUUGUCCGGAAUCACUGGGCGUAAAGGGUUCGCAGGCGGAAUAACAAGUCAGGUGUAAAAGGCAGUAGCUUAACUACUGUAAGCAUUUGAAACUGCAUAUCUUGAGAAGAGUAGAGGUAAGUGGAAUUUUUAGUGUAGCGGUGAAAUGCGUAGAUAUUAAAAAGAAUACCGGUGGCGAAGGCGACUUACUGGGCUCAUUCUGACGCUGAGGAACGAAAGCGUGGGUAGCAAACAGG
RNAcentral lists this ribosomal RNA (403 nucleotides) under Verrucomicrobiota bacterium. RNAcentral describes it as "Verrucomicrobia bacterium partial 16S ribosomal RNA". It matches the Rfam family "Bacterial small subunit ribosomal RNA", at positions 355 to 776 of the family's 1533-position model. The record is from RNAcentral. Lineage: Bacteria; Pseudomonadati; Verrucomicrobiota.